This 648-nucleotide long non-coding RNA is filed under the name Cricetulus griseus (Chinese hamster). RNAcentral describes it as "lncRNA (ENSCGRG00015033864.1)". The record is from RNAcentral. Lineage: Eukaryota; Metazoa; Chordata; Mammalia; Rodentia; Cricetidae.
CCCAGACUUUAUGGACCGACCACCCAGCUACAGUUGAUGGAGGGAGAUUUACAACCAACCUCUGGGGACUCUGAUGCCCUCCUAUGGCCUCUGAGAAGGCAUGGAUGGCUCUCUGCUCCUCUCUAUUCCAGAAACAUCCAUGACUUCUCAUGAAGUACCAGCCUCAUGCUUGACACACAAUGAUGAAGGUUGGAAUGAAUAGAUUUGACUGAAUUGGGCACCUGAUUACCAGGGCUUCCUUCAACUCUGGAAAAGUGGACAUUGUUGCCAUCACUUACCCCUUCAUUGACCUCAAUUACAUGGUCUAUAUGUUCUAGUGUAACUCUACUCACAGUCAAGCUCAAUGGCACAAUCAAGGCUGAGAAUGGGAAGCUUGUCAUCAAUGGGAAGGCCAUCACCAUCUUCCAGGAGUAAGAUACCACAGACAUCAAAUGGUGUGAUGCUGGUGCCCAGGAUGUUGUGAAGUCUGGUGUCUUCACCACCGUGGAGAAGGCUGGGGCCCACUUGAAGGGUAGGGCAUAAAGGAUCAACAUCUCUGCCCCUACUGCUGAUUCCCCCAUGCUUGUGAUGGGUGUGAACCAUGGGAAGUGUCACAAUUCACUUAAGAUUGUCAACAAUGUUCCCUGUACUACCAACUGCUUAGCCCCC